RNAcentral lists this ribosomal RNA (445 nucleotides) under uncultured bacterium. Its description in RNAcentral is "partial 16S ribosomal RNA". It matches the Rfam family "Bacterial small subunit ribosomal RNA", at positions 354 to 796 of the family's 1533-position model. The record is from RNAcentral.
GUGAGGAAUAUUGGUCAAUGGGCGAGAGCCUGAACCAGCCAAGUCGCGUGAAGGAAGAAGGAUCUAUGGUUCGUAAACUUCUUUUGCAGGGGAAUAAAGUGCAGGACGUGUCCUGUUUUGUAUGUACCCUGAGAAUAAGGAUCGGCUAACUCCGUGCCAGCAGCCGCGGUAAUACGGAGGAUCCGAGCGUUAUCCGGAUUUAUUUGGUUUAAAGGGUGCGUAGGUGGUUUGAUAAGUCAGCGGUGAAAGUUUGCAGCUUAACUGUAAAAAUGCCGUUGAAACUGUCGGACUUGAGUGUAAAUGAGGUAGGCGGAAUGCGUGGUGUAGCGGUGAAAUGCAUAGAUAUCACGCAGAACUCCGAUUGCGAAGGCAGCUUACUAAGCUACAACUGACACUGAAGCACGAAAGCGUGGGGAUCAAACAGGAUUAGAAACCCCGGUAGUCC